UACGUAGGGGGCGAGCGUUGUCCGGAUUUAUUGGGCGUAAAGAGCGUGUAGGCGGUUCGGUAAGUCUGUCGUGAAAUCCUGGGGCUCAACCUCGGGCGUGCGAUGGAUACUGCCGGGCUAGAGGGUGGUAGAGGCGAGUGGAAUUCCCGGUGUAGCGGUGAAAUGCGCAGAUAUCGGGAGGAACACCAGUAGCGAAGGCGGCUCGCUGGGCCACACCUGACGCUGAGACGCGAAAGCUAGGGGAGCGAACAGG
This 253-nucleotide ribosomal RNA is filed under the name uncultured bacterium. RNAcentral's name for it is "partial 16S ribosomal RNA". It matches the Rfam family "Bacterial small subunit ribosomal RNA", at positions 524 to 776 of the family's 1533-position model. The record is from RNAcentral.